GACGAACGCUGGCGGCGUGCUUAACACAUGCAAGUCGAGCGAGGCCCUCCUUCGGGGGGUGCCCUAGCGGCGAACGGGUGAGUAACACGUGGGCAACCUGCCCUCAGCUCUGGGAUAACUCCAAGAAAUUGGUGCUAAUACCGGAUGUGACCGCUGACCGCAUGGUCUGGUGGUGGAAAGAUUCAUCGGCUGAGGAUGGGCCCGCGGCCUAUCAGCUUGUUGGUGGGGAACAGCCUACCAAGGCGACGACGGGUAGCCGGCCUGAGAGGGUGACCGGCCACACUGGGACUGAGACACGGCCCAGACUCCUACGGGAGGCAGCAGUGGGGAAUAUUGCGCAAUGGGCGAAAGCCUGACGCAGCGACGCCGCGUGAGGGAUGACGGCCUCGGUGUAA
Molecule: ribosomal RNA, 395 nt
Filed under: uncultured bacterium
Lineage: Bacteria
Description: bacterial SSU rRNA
Rfam family: Bacterial small subunit ribosomal RNA
Source: RNAcentral